This 253-nucleotide ribosomal RNA is filed under the name uncultured bacterium. RNAcentral describes it as "partial 16S ribosomal RNA". It matches the Rfam family "Bacterial small subunit ribosomal RNA", at positions 524 to 776 of the family's 1533-position model. The record is from RNAcentral.
UACGAAGGGGGCUAGCGUUGCUCGGAAUCACUGGGCGUAAAGGGUGCGUAGGCGGGUUUUUAAGUCAGGGGUGAAAUCCUGGAGCUCAACUCCAGAACUGCCCUUGAUACUGGCGAUCUCGAGUUCGGGAGAGGUGAGUGGAACUGCGAGUGUAGAGGUGAAAUUCGUAGAUAUUCGCAAGAACACCAGUGGCGAAGGCGGCUCACUGGCCCGAUACUGACGCUGAGGUGCGAAAGCGUGGGGAGCAAACAGG